GCGCUCUUAGCUCAGCUGGAUAGAGCAACAGCCUUCUAAGCUGUGGGUCAGAGGUUCGAAUCCUCUAGGGCGCG
Molecule: transfer RNA, 74 nt
Filed under: Exobacillus caeni
Lineage: Bacteria; Bacillati; Bacillota; Bacilli; Caryophanales; Guptibacillaceae
Description: Pseudalkalibacillus caeni tRNA
Rfam family: tRNA
About the family: Transfer RNA (tRNA) molecules are approximately 80 nucleotides in length.
Source: Rfam by way of RNAcentral